UACGAAGGGGGCUAGCGUUGUUCGGAAUCACUGGGCGUAAAGGGCGCGUAGGCGGCUUUAUGAGUCGGGGGUGAAAGCCUGUGGCUCAACCACAGAAUUGCCUUCGAUACUGUAGAGCUUGAGACCGGAAGAGGUAAGUGGAACUGCGAGUGUAGAGGUGAAAUUCGUAGAUAUUCGCAAGAACACCAGUGGCGAAGGCGGCUUACUGGUCCGGUUCUGACGCUGAGGCGCGAAAGCGUGGGGAGCAAACAGG
RNAcentral lists this ribosomal RNA (253 nucleotides) under uncultured bacterium. Its description in RNAcentral is "partial 16S ribosomal RNA". It matches the Rfam family "Bacterial small subunit ribosomal RNA", at positions 524 to 776 of the family's 1533-position model. The record is from RNAcentral.